UUCUUUGUUUCCCUUUUCUUCCUUCAACCAUCUCCAUCACCCCCUAUGCAACUACCACCAACUUAGCCACCGACGACUGAUUCAGGAAUCAGUCGGGUUAAACUCACUCGAAUUAUUGAAGAGGGAAGUAAUGAUGAUGAGGAUGUUGGUUGUUAUGGUGGCGACGGCGAUGGAGAAGAUGGAAAUAGGCUAAAACGAAAAAAUUAAUGAUGGAGAUCGUGGUGAUCCUUACUGAAAUGAUGAACUUCGUGAUAAAAAGGUUGGAAUGUUGGCUGUGUUUAGAUAAAGAAAAUAAAAUUGGUUCUGAUUGGUGUUGUGGUGGUGGUUAGGGAUAAUCUGUGUAAUUGUUAUUGGCGGUGGUGAGGUUCAAAUGAAAAAUUGGUGAUGGAAAUAUCGGUGGAUGGUGGUUUUGGUUGUGGAUUGUUGGUGGUGGUGGUGAUAUCUUCCUAAAGAUAAAAGUAGUAAUGAAUGAAACUAACAUGUCGGGUACUUUUAAUGUUCUCGGGAGAAAGUAUAAGUUCAUGUGGCUGCCUCUUUUGGGGAUCUUAGUAAUGGCAUAUGCAGCAAAGUUGUCCAACUUUUUAUAGCAUACAAGUGCACUAACACUGUAGGUGCUAGCUACUAUGUUGGUUGGAUUCUCUUCUAUAUUCUUUCAGGAGCGACGAUGGUGGUGGUGACGGCAGCGAUGGUGGUGACGGAGGCGGUGGUGGUGAUGGCGGUGGUGGUGGAGUGGUGGUACAAUAUAAGUGUUGGUGGUGCAAUAUUGGUGGUGGCGGCGGUGAAGUGGUAGAGAAACAAAUUUGUUGUAUUUAGGAAAAAAAAAUCAUAUGUAUGAGGGUAUUAAAGUAAUCUAUUUUUAAAUGGAUAUGGUUUUAAAAUGGUAGCGGUGUUUUUAUUGUUGUAUAAGGUUAUAUUUGUUGGGUGUGAAAACUAGGGAUAUAUAAUUAAUGUACCUAGAAGAGAACUACUUCUCCUUCAUCCCUCACACCAAAAUCAAUUGAUUCUCUUAUUCAUUGA
Long non-coding RNA from Papaver somniferum (opium poppy), 1017 nucleotides. RefSeq lists it as uncharacterized. NCBI's taxonomy places the organism in Eukaryota, Viridiplantae, Streptophyta, Magnoliopsida, Ranunculales, Papaveraceae. The record is from RefSeq and is a predicted model, not a curated record. The transcript is spliced from 5 exons.